Long non-coding RNA from Neofelis nebulosa (Clouded leopard), 979 nucleotides. RefSeq lists it as uncharacterized. The transcript is spliced from 2 exons. Lineage: Eukaryota; Metazoa; Chordata; Mammalia; Carnivora; Felidae. The record is from RefSeq and is a predicted model, not a curated record.
UUCACAGGAAGCAUUAGUGCAAAGAGGCUAAGACAGGCACAAACCUAGCAAAUUUAAAGAGUAGAAUUUCGAUUUUAUUCAAAUCAAAUCCAUUGAAGGGUUUUAAGUAAAGAAGUGACAUUAUAAACUUACAUUUUAAAAGUAUUAUUUUGGCAUAAGGACAGUCAUAUAGAUUAAUGGAAUAGAAUCAGGAAUCCGGAAGUAAACCCACAUAUCUGCUGUCAAUUGAUUUUCAAUACAUGUGCCCAGACCAUUCAAUAGGGAAAGAAUAGUCUCUUCAACAAAUGGUUCUGAGAAACUAGAUACUGACAUGCAAAAGAAUGACAUUGGGAUCUACCUCACCCCAUGUACAGAAGUUGACUCAAAUGGAGGAAAGGCCUAAAGGGACACAGAAGCCACUCCCAGCUUUGUCCUCUCUCUCUGAGCCACAAAGACCGUCAGGUGCUACAGAUAAAGAGACGUGGCCGCUGACUCUCAAUGCAGCAGCCCCUUGGGGACCACAGAUCCCAGAGCCAACAGCUGUUCUCAGGUCGUCGGAAGUGGUGAAGCUUCAAAAUCACGCUUCCUCCCGCCUGGCAGAGCCCCUACCCACAACCCAUCUCAUUUCUGUGAGGUCUGUGUUUAGAGACCCACAGAUUCCUCAAGAUGCUUUUUAAGACUUCCUGCUCUUGGCUGGCAAAUUGUUAAUCAGUUUGUGGCAGCAUAAAUAAAAUUAGAGGGUUUAAUUAAAACUAAUGAAUGAGUGAGCAGAGACCAGCCUGGCCGUGUUGCUCUCUGAGCCUCGGAGCAGUAAAUAAUGAAAGUGUCACACAGCGAGUGAGAUGUUUUAGCAGAAGUGUAGGGCCAGCAGAAACGAGGCCACAGAGAGCUCCUCCACCCAAGGUGCAAUUUGCAAGUUGGUGGAAACCCCAUUUUAGUGUGUCUUAUUAAUUAAUUCUGCAGAAACUGCUCCAGUUUUCUGGCCUUUCAAAAAAAGAAA